Long non-coding RNA from Trichechus manatus latirostris (Florida manatee), 536 nucleotides. RefSeq lists it as uncharacterized. NCBI's taxonomy places the organism in Eukaryota, Metazoa, Chordata, Mammalia, Sirenia, Trichechidae. The transcript has 3 exons. The record is from RefSeq and is a predicted model, not a curated record.
CCCAGAGAGGGAUGUGGCCAGCACUCCCAUGCUUGGCUCCUGGCCAGUGUGAAGAAAGAGCUGCAGUCUGAAAAGCUUUCCCACAGAGGGAAAGUCUCCCAUCUCAGAAAUCUCAGUUUCAAAAGCCCAUAGGGGCUCCCCUGGAGGCUGCGUGUGGACGGAGAUGGCUCAGCUGAGUGACUUGCAGCCCUGAAGGAAAUGGCCCAAAUUCUUCGGAAGAGAAGGCUGAGUCACAGGAGAAAGAGGAACCUUGCCAAGAUUUCACAGGCACCAAGUCGCACUGUGGAUGAUGCCGGCUCAGACAGAAGCUCCGAGGAGAAAGAACUCGUGAUGAGCAGGAGAGAGUGGAGGCUUCUUGCAGGGGAUCGCUCCAAAACACGGACGGAAGUUGUGUGUGGGUUUUCUGUUUUUUCCAUUUUUAAAAUCCAUCAUUAAACACUAUGGAAUGGCGUGAAGUGAACUAAGUCCUCCAACUGACUGCAUCCCUUAGGCACCCACUCUCACGAUUUCCCGCGCAUCCUUCAGGCCACGGUUAC